Molecule: ribosomal RNA, 466 nt
Filed under: uncultured bacterium
Lineage: Bacteria
Description: partial 16S ribosomal RNA
Rfam family: Bacterial small subunit ribosomal RNA
Source: RNAcentral
GACGAACGCUGGCGGCGUGCUUAACACAUGCAAGUCGAACGGAAAGGCCCUGCUUGCAGGGUACUCGAGUGGCGAACGGGUGAGUAACACGUGGGUGAUCUGCCCUGCACUUCGUGAUAAGCCUGGGAAACUGGGUCUAAUACCGGAUAGGAGCCAUUUUUAGUGUGAUGGUUGGAAAGUUUUUUUCGGUGUAGGAUGAGCUCGCGGCCUAUCAGCUUGUUGGUGGGGUAAUGGCCUACCAAGGCGGCGACGGGUAGCCGGCCUGAGAGGGUGGACGGCCACAUUGGGACUGAGAGACGGCCCAGACUCCUACGGGGGGCAGCAGUGGGGAAUAUUGCACAAUGGGCGCAAGCCUGAUGCAGCGACGCCGCGUGGGGGAUGACGGCCUUCGGGUUGUAAACUCCUUUCGCUAGGGACGAAGCUUUUUGUGACGGUACCUAGAUAAGAAGCACCGGCUAACUACGUG